This 778-nucleotide ribosomal RNA is filed under the name uncultured bacterium. RNAcentral describes it as "bacterial SSU rRNA". It matches the Rfam family "Bacterial small subunit ribosomal RNA", at positions 28 to 853 of the family's 1533-position model. The record is from RNAcentral.
AGCGAACGCUGGCGGCAGGCCUAAUACAUGCAAGUCGAACGGAUCCUUCGGGAUUAGUGGCGGACGGGUGAGUAACACGUGGGAACGUGCCCUUUGGUUCGGAACAACUCAGGGAAACUUGAGCUAAUACCGAAUGUGCCCUUCGGGGGAAAGAUUUAUCGCCAUUGGAGCGGCCCGCGUCUGAUUAGCUAGUUGGUGAGGUAAAGGCUCACCAAGGCUACGAUCAGUAGCUGGUCUGAGAGGAUGAUCAGCCACACUGGGACUGAGACACGGCCCAGACUCCUACGGGAGGCAGCAGUAGGGAAUCUUGCGCAAUGGGCGAAAGCCUGACGCAGCCAUGCCGCGUGAAUGAUGAAGGUCUUAGGAUUGUAAAAUUCUUUCAGCGGGGACGAUAAUGACGGUACCCGCAGAAGAAGCCCCGGCUAACUUCGUGCCAGCAGCCGCGGUAAUACGAAGGGGGCUAGCGUUGCUCGGAAUUACUGGGCGUAAAGGGCGCGUAGGCGGAUGUUUAAGUCAGAGGUGAAAGCCCAGGGCUCAACCUUGGAACUGCCUUUGAUACUGGACAUCUUGAGUAUGGGAGAGGUGAGUGGAGCUCCGAGUGUAGAGGUGAAAUUCGUAGAUAUUCGGAAGAACACCAGUGGCGAAGGCGACUCACUGGCCCAUUACUGACGCUGAGGCGCGAAAGCGUGGGGAGCAAACAGGAUUAGAUACCCUGGUAGUCCACGCUGUAAACGAUGAGUGCUAGUUGUCGGCAUGCAUGCAUGUCGGUGACGCAGUU